Molecule: ribosomal RNA, 450 nt
Filed under: uncultured bacterium
Lineage: Bacteria
Description: bacterial SSU rRNA
Rfam family: Bacterial small subunit ribosomal RNA
Source: RNAcentral
AACGAACGCUGGCGGCAUGCCUAACACAUGCAAGUCGAACGAAGCCUUCGGGCUUAGUGGCGCACGGGUGCGUAACACGUGGGAAUCUGCCCUUGGGUUCGGAAUAACAGUUAGAAAUGACUGCUAAUACCGAAUGAUGUCUUCGGACCAAAGAUUUAUCGCCCAAGGAUGAGCCCGCGUCGGAUUAGCUAGUUGGUGAGGUAAAGGCUCACCAAGGCGACGAUCCGUAGCUGGUCUGAGAGGAUGAUCAGCCACACUGGGACUGAGACACGGCCCAGACUCCUACGGGAGGCAGCAGUGGGGAAUAUUGGACAAUGGGCGAAAGCCUGAUCCAGCAAUGCCGCGUGAGUGAUGAAGGCCUUAGGGUUGUAAAGCUCUUUUACCCGGGAUGAUAAUGACAGUACCGGGAGAAUAAGCCCCGGCUAACUCCGUGCCAGCAGCCGCGGUAAU